This 454-nucleotide ribosomal RNA is filed under the name uncultured bacterium. RNAcentral's name for it is "bacterial SSU rRNA". It matches the Rfam family "Bacterial small subunit ribosomal RNA", at positions 340 to 786 of the family's 1533-position model. The record is from RNAcentral.
UACGGAAGGCAGCAGUGGGGAAUAUUGCACAAUGGGCGCAAGCCUGAUGCAGCCAUGCCGCGUGUAUGAAGAAGGCCUUCGGGUUGUAAAGUACUUUCAGUCGUGAGGAAGGUGUUAAGGUUAAUAACCUUAGCAAUUGACGUUAGCGACAGAAGAAGCACCGGCUAACUCCGUGCCAGCAGCCGCGGUAAUACGGAGGGUGCGAGCGUUAAUCGGAAUUACUGGGCGUAAAGGGCACGCAGGCGGUUAAUUAAGUUGGAUGUGAAAUCCCCGGGCUUAACCUGGGAAUGGCAUUCAAGCUGGUUAGCUAGAGUCUUGUAGAGGGGGUAGAAUUCCAUGUGUAGCGGUGAAAUGCGUAGAGAUGUGGAGGAAUACCGGUGGCGAAGGCGGCCCCUGGACAAAGACUGACGCUCAUGUGCGAAAGCGUGGGGAGCGAAACAGGGAUUUAGAUACC